GAGCCUGGCUCAGGACGAACGCUGGCGGCGCGCCUAACACAUGCAAGUCGAACGAGCGAGAGAGAGCUUGCUUUCUCGAGCGAGUGGCGAACGGGUGAGUAACGCGUGAGGAACCUGCCUCAAAGAGGGGGACAACAGUUGGAAACGACUGCUAAUACCGCAUAAGCCCACGGCUCGGCAUCGAGCAGAGGGAAAAGGAGCAAUCCGCUUUGAGAUGGCCUCGCGUCCGAUUAG
RNAcentral lists this ribosomal RNA (234 nucleotides) under uncultured bacterium. RNAcentral's name for it is "partial 16S ribosomal RNA". It matches the Rfam family "Bacterial small subunit ribosomal RNA", at positions 15 to 244 of the family's 1533-position model. The record is from RNAcentral.